AGAGGAAUCGAUCAGUGUUAGAGCACUUGCCUCAAAUGCAUGAAGCUCUGGGUUUGAUCCCCGGUACCCCCA
RNAcentral lists this transfer RNA (72 nucleotides) under Ictidomys tridecemlineatus (thirteen-lined ground squirrel). RNAcentral describes it as "Spermophilus tridecemlineatus (thirteen-lined ground squirrel) tRNA". It matches the Rfam family "tRNA". From Rfam's summary of the family: Transfer RNA (tRNA) molecules are approximately 80 nucleotides in length. Lineage: Eukaryota; Metazoa; Chordata; Mammalia; Rodentia; Sciuridae. The record is from Rfam by way of RNAcentral.